AACGAACGCUGGCGGCAUGCCUAACACAUGCAAGUCGAACGAGACCUUCGGGUCUAUUGGCGCACGGGUGCGUAACGCGUGGGAACCUGCCCUUAGGUUCGGAAUAACUCCCCGAAAGGGGUGCUAAUACCGCAUAAUGUCUUCGGACCAAAGAUUUAUCGCCUUUGGAUGGGCCCGUGUUGGAUUAGAUAGUUGGUAGGGUAAAAGCCUACCAAGGCGACGAUCCAUAGCUGGUCUGAGAGGAUGCUAAGCCACACUGGGACUAAGACACGGCCCAGACCCCUACGGGAGGCAGCAGUGGGGAAUAUUGGACACUGGGCGAAAGCCUGAUCCAGCAAUGCCGGGUGAGAGAUGAAGGCCUUAGGGUUGUACAGCUCUUUUACCCGGGAUGAUAAUGACAGUACCGGGUGAAUAAGCUCCGGCUAACUACGUG
RNAcentral lists this ribosomal RNA (433 nucleotides) under uncultured bacterium. RNAcentral describes it as "partial 16S ribosomal RNA". It matches the Rfam family "Bacterial small subunit ribosomal RNA", at positions 29 to 507 of the family's 1533-position model. The record is from RNAcentral.